This 460-nucleotide ribosomal RNA is filed under the name Citricoccus alkalitolerans. RNAcentral's name for it is "bacterial SSU rRNA". It matches the Rfam family "Bacterial small subunit ribosomal RNA", at positions 73 to 544 of the family's 1533-position model. The record is from RNAcentral. Lineage: Bacteria; Bacillati; Actinomycetota; Actinomycetes; Micrococcales; Micrococcaceae.
CUCCAGCUUGCUGGGGUGGAUGAGUGGCGAACGGGUGAGUAACACGUGAGUAACCUUCCCUUGACUCUGGGAUAAGCCCGGGAAACUGGGUCUAAUACCGGAUAUGACCUCCUAUCGCAUGGUGGGGGGUGGAAAGAUUUAUCGGUCUUGGAUGGACUCGCGGCCUAUCAGCUUGUUGGUGAGGUAAUGGCUCACCAAGGCGACGACGGGUAGCCGGCCUGAGAGGGUGACCGGCCACACUGGGACUGAGACACGGCCCACACUCCUACGGGAGGCAGCAGUGGGGAAUAUUGCACAAUGGGCGCAAGCCUGAUGCAGCGACGCCGCGUGAGGGAUGACGGCCUUCGGGUUGUAAACCUCUUUCAGUAGGGAAGAAGCCUUCGGGUGACGGUACCUGCAGAAGAAGCGCCGGCUAACUACGUGCCAGCAGCCGCGGUAAUACGUAGGGCGCGAGCGUUAU